Solea solea (common sole) is the source of this 238-nucleotide long non-coding RNA. RefSeq lists it as uncharacterized. The record is from RefSeq and is a predicted model, not a curated record. Lineage: Eukaryota; Metazoa; Chordata; Actinopteri; Pleuronectiformes; Soleidae. The transcript is spliced from 3 exons.
AAACGGGAGGAGGACGAGGGCGGGUACAAACAUGUGGACGAACGUGUGGAACCAGGACCAGGAGGAGCUGGAGGAGGACGAGGAGCAGCGGGGACAGUUGGAGAUCUUCUUGCGUGGCAGGUAAGCACUGGUGAUCUGGUUCAUGACCACCAGGGCGGGAAAGAAGGGCAGCAGGAGGAAGACCCACCACACCACCCCUUUCACUGUGGCCUGGAACCAGUCCGAGAACAUGGCCGAC